UACGUAGGGGGCAAGCGUUGUCCGGAUUUACUGGGCGUAAAGAGCGUGUAGGCUGCCAAGCAGGUCCGUUGUGAAAACUGGAGGCUUAACCUCCAGACGUCGACGGAAACCGCGUGGCUAGAGUCCGGAAGAGGAGAGUGGAAUUCCUGGUGUAGCGGUGAAAUGCGCAGAUAUCAGGAAGAACACCAAUGGCGAAGGCAGCUCUCUGGGACGGUACUGACGCUGAGACGCGAAAGCGUGGGGAGCGAACAGG
RNAcentral lists this ribosomal RNA (253 nucleotides) under uncultured bacterium. RNAcentral describes it as "partial 16S ribosomal RNA". It matches the Rfam family "Bacterial small subunit ribosomal RNA", at positions 524 to 776 of the family's 1533-position model. The record is from RNAcentral.